Molecule: transfer RNA, 67 nt
Filed under: Marmota monax (woodchuck)
Lineage: Eukaryota; Metazoa; Chordata; Mammalia; Rodentia; Sciuridae
Description: tRNA.Ala
Source: RNAcentral
GGCUAUAGCUCAGUGGUAGAGUGCUUGCCUAGCACAUGUGAGACACUGAGUUCAAUUCUCAGCACCA